UGGGGAAUAUUGGACAAUGGGGGCAACCCUGAUCCAGCCAUGCCGCGUGAGUGAUGAAGGCCUUAGGGUUGUAAAGCUCUUUCGCCGGUGAAGAUAAUGACGGUAACCGGAGAAGAAGCCCCGGCUAACUUCGUGCCAGCAGCCGCGGUAAUACGAAGGGGGCUAGCGUUGUUCGGAAUUACUGGGCGUAAAGCGCACGUAGGCGGACUGUUAAGUCGGGGGUGAAAUCCCAGGGCUCAACCCUGGAACUGCCUCCGAUACUGGCUGUCUUGAGUCCGGGAGAGGUGAGUGGAAUUCCGAGUGUAGAGGUGAAAUUCGUAGAUAUUCGGAAGAACACCAGUGGCGAAGGCGGCUCACUGGCCCGGUACUGACGCUGAGGUGCGAAAGCGUGGGGAGCAAACAGG
This 404-nucleotide ribosomal RNA is filed under the name uncultured bacterium. RNAcentral describes it as "bacterial SSU rRNA". It matches the Rfam family "Bacterial small subunit ribosomal RNA", at positions 355 to 776 of the family's 1533-position model. The record is from RNAcentral.